RNAcentral lists this ribosomal RNA (637 nucleotides) under uncultured bacterium. RNAcentral's name for it is "bacterial SSU rRNA". It matches the Rfam family "Bacterial small subunit ribosomal RNA", at positions 202 to 842 of the family's 1533-position model. The record is from RNAcentral.
UAAAGAUUCAUCGCUGAUAGAUAGGCAUGCGUUCCAUUAGGCAGUUGGCGGGGUAACGGCCCACCAAACCGACGAUGGAUAGGGGUUCUGAGAGGAAGGUCCCCCACAUUGGUACCGAGACACGGACCAAACUCCUACGGGAGGCAGCAGUGAGGAAUAUUGGUCAAUGGGCGUAAGCCUGAACCAGCCAAGUCGCGUGAGGGAUGAAGGUUCUAUGGAUCGUAAACCUCUUUUAUAAGGGAAUAAAGUGUGGGACGUGUCCUGUUUUGUAUGUACCUUAUGAAUAAGGAUCGGCUAACUCCGUGCCAGCAGCCGCGGUAAUACGGAGGAUCCGAGCGUUAUCCGGAUUUAUUGGGUUUAAAGGGUGCGUAGGCGGCCUUUUAAGUCAGCGGUGAAAGUCUGUGGCUCAACCAUAGAAUUGCCGUUGAAACUGGGAGGCUUGAGUAUGUUUGAGGCAGGCGGAAUGCGUGGUGUAGCGGUGAAAUGCUUAGAUAUCACGCAGAACCCCGAUUGCGAAGGCAGCCUGCCAAGCCAUGACUGACGCUGAUGCACGAAAGCGUGGGGAUCAAACAGGAUUAGAUACCCUGGUAGUCCACGCAGUAAACGAUGAUCACUAGCUGUUUGCGAUACAGUGUAA